RNAcentral lists this unclassified non-coding RNA (212 nucleotides) under Hevea brasiliensis (rubber tree). Lineage: Eukaryota; Viridiplantae; Streptophyta; Magnoliopsida; Malpighiales; Euphorbiaceae. The record is from RNAcentral.
AAAGUCUGCAUGCAAACCUUGCACUGGAUAUUCAUGGCUUUCUUGUUUGAUUCUAAUUGGCUUCCCUUGGCGGCAGCUUUCUGCUUCUCGAUGUGCUUCUCGCGAGCCAUCUUAGCCUUUUGUCCGUUGCCCCCUCCCAUUUUUCCCUUCGAUUAACGCGAAAUUGACGACCCCCGAAGAAACCCUAAUUCUGAACUUUCAGGGCAAAGACG